GACGAACGCUGGCGGCGUGCUUAACACAUGCCAGUCGAACGGAAAGGCCCUGCUUUUGUGGGGUGCUCGAGUGGCGAACGGGUGAGUAACACGUGAGUAACCUGCCCUUGACUUUGGGAUAACUUCAGGAAACUGGGGCUAAUACCGGAUAGGAGCUCCUGCUGCAUGGUGGGGGUUGGAAAGUUUCGGCGGUUGGGGAUGGACUCGCGGCUUAUCAGCUUGUUGGUGGGGUAGUGGCUUACCAAGGCUUUGACGGGUAGCCGGCCUGAGAGGGUGACCGGCCACAUUGGGACUGAGAUACGGCCCAGACUCCUACGGGAGGCGGCAGUGGGGAAUAUUGCACAAUGGGCGGAAGCCUGAUGCAGCAACGCCGCGUGCGGGAUGACGGCCUUCGGGUUGUAAACCGCUUUCGCCUGUGACGAAGCGUGAGUGACGGUAAUGGGUAAAGAAGCACCGGCUAACUACGUG
This 468-nucleotide ribosomal RNA is filed under the name uncultured bacterium. Its description in RNAcentral is "partial 16S ribosomal RNA". It matches the Rfam family "Bacterial small subunit ribosomal RNA", at positions 28 to 507 of the family's 1533-position model. The record is from RNAcentral.